RNAcentral lists this unclassified non-coding RNA (350 nucleotides) under soil metagenome. Its description in RNAcentral is "partial contains 5.8S ribosomal RNA, internal transcribed spacer 2, and large subunit ribosomal RNA". The stretch from base 1 to 120 matches the Rfam family "5.8S ribosomal RNA", at positions 35 to 154 of the family's 154-position model. The record is from RNAcentral.
GAUGAAGAACGUAGCGAAAUGCGAUAAGUAAUGUGAAUUGCAGAAUUCAGUGAAUCAUCGAAUCUUUGAACGCACAUUGCGCCCGCCAGUAUUCUGGCGGGCAUGCCUGUUCGAGCGUCAUUACAACCCUCAGGCCCCCGGGCCUGGCGUUGGGGAUCGGCGGAGCCCCCCGUGGGCACACGCCGUCCCCCAAAUGCAGUGGCGGUCCCGCCGCAGCUUCCAUCGCGUAGUAGCUAACACCUCGCGACUGGAGAGCGGCGCGGCCACGCCGUAAAACACCCAACUCUUCUGAAGUUGACCUCGAAUCAGGUAGGAAUACCCGCUGAACUUAAGCAUAUCAAUAAGCGGGG